UCUCACACACUCUUUCCCAUUGACUACGAUCCAUCCAGAGGCUUCGGUGGGCGUGCCAGAGGACAGGAAGAAGCUCACCUGGGCGGACGGCGAGACGGUGAUCCUCCUGGAGCUCUGGGGAGACGACACUGUGCAGCAGAACCUGAAGCGCUGGCCGCACAACAGUCACAUAUACUCAGAGAUUUCGGGAAAGCUCAACUUCCGUGGUUAUUACAGAACUGCAGAUCAGUGCCACACCAGGAUAAAGUGUUUGAAAGCCAGCUAUCGGCAGUGCCAGGAAACCAUCAGUUCAUAUGGAUCUGAGCAGGUUGAUUUGAAGUUCUAUGAUAUUUUGAAGCUAAUACUUGAGAGGCAGCCUCCCUCCACCAGCACAGUGGUGACAGACUUGACCAAUGACAUAUCAGAGGAAUCAGACAGUGACUCACUUCAAGAAUCCAGAGGGCAGAACACUUUGACUCAGACUCUAAUGUGAAAGCUGUUCUCCCAGGACAGAUGAUCUCUCUGGGUUGUAAAGUUAGCACUGAUCCAGUUGGGAAUUGUGGUGGUUCAGGUAAACUGUGUCUAGCUUGGUACCAACAGAAACCUGGAGCAGCUUCUAAACUCCUCAUUUACUAUAUAAGCACACUUCAGUCUGGAACUCCGUCUAGAUUCCGUGGCAGCGGAUCUGGGAGUGACUUCACUCUGACCACCAGUGCAGUCCGGGCUGAAGAUGCAGGAGGGGUACUGCUGUCAGAGUUUAAACUGCAGUCCAUGUGUGUUCACACAGUGAUACAGAGCCGUACAAAAACCUCCCUCAGUCAGACUGCACAGUGACUGUACUGAUACAGCU
Oncorhynchus keta (chum salmon) is the source of this 829-nucleotide long non-coding RNA. RefSeq lists it as uncharacterized. The transcript has 3 exons. NCBI's taxonomy places the organism in Eukaryota, Metazoa, Chordata, Actinopteri, Salmoniformes, Salmonidae. The record is from RefSeq and is a predicted model, not a curated record.